Long non-coding RNA from Oreochromis aureus, 394 nucleotides. The record is from Ensembl. NCBI's taxonomy places the organism in Eukaryota, Metazoa, Chordata, Actinopteri, Cichliformes, Cichlidae.
GGAUUAAGUCAGGCUGCAUUGACUGUGGGACUUUAAAGUGUUAAAAGCAGGUACAGUACGUGAUAUUAAGGGCAGGCGGUCAACACUGGGGGAAGACAAGAAGCAGACGUACUUCCAAGAGGGAGCUGCAGUGAGGACACAGCCUGGUCACUGAGGAGGCGCUGAAAGGUUUCCCUAAUAGUUCCUGGUGAAUCAAAGCAGGACCAUAAAGGUUGCUGGACUGCAUGAUGGCCUUACCCCUGAGCAGUCGUCCUGUUAAAGGAGGAACCAGUUAGAAGCUGUUUUCAAAGUAGCUGAGCAGAUUUCAUCUCAAAUCAAAGCAGCUCGUGCUCUUUCUGCUUCCAUUCUGAUGGCAAGAAGAAGAAGAAGGAGAAGAAUGCUUCAGCGAAGUGGC